RNAcentral lists this ribosomal RNA (253 nucleotides) under uncultured bacterium. RNAcentral describes it as "partial 16S ribosomal RNA". It matches the Rfam family "Bacterial small subunit ribosomal RNA", at positions 524 to 776 of the family's 1533-position model. The record is from RNAcentral.
UACGUAGGGGGCUAGCGUUGUCCGGAUUUAUUGGGCGUAAAGAGCGUGUAGGCGGCCAGAUAGGUCUGCUGUGAAAACUCGAGGCUCAACCUCGAGAUGUCGGCGGAAACCAUUUGGCUAGAGUCCGGAAGAGGAAAGUGGAAUUCCUGGUGUAGCGGUGAAAUGCGCAGAUAUCAGGAAGAACACCAACGGCGAAGGCAGCUCGCUGGGACGGUACUGACGCUGAGACGCGAAAGCGUGGGGAGCGAACAGG